RNAcentral lists this long non-coding RNA (228 nucleotides) under Phaseolus vulgaris (common bean). RNAcentral describes it as "long non-coding RNA (PVUL_LNC000635)". The record is from RNAcentral. Lineage: Eukaryota; Viridiplantae; Streptophyta; Magnoliopsida; Fabales; Fabaceae.
UCUUUUUGUUCCCUAUUACUUCCUUGUACACUUUAUGCAUGUAAAUGAUCACUCAUCACUACAAAAAAGCGUGUAUGUGGUGGCGGUUAUAAUAUGGCGGUUAUUAAAAACCGCCACAAUUUACUGUAUAAUACGACAAUUUCAUAGACGCCAUAAUCUCUCUUCGAAUUGUGGCAUGUAGAACCGCCAUAAUUAUCCUUCGAAAUAAAAACUCUCCCACGUUUCGUU